GGCUUAGAGUUUGAUCAUGGCUCAGGAUGAACGCUAGCUACAGGCUUAACACAUGCAAGUCGAGGGGCAUCAGGAAGAAAGCUUGCUUUCUUUGCUGGCGACCGGCGCACGGGUGAGUAACACGUAUCCAACCUGCCCUUUACUCGGGGAUAGCCUUUCGAAAGAAAGAUUAAUACCCGAUAGUAUAAUGAUUCCGCAUGGUUUCAUUAUUAAAGGAUUCCGGUAAAGGAUGGGGAUGCGUUCCAUUAGGUUGUUGGUGAGGUAACGGCCCACCAAGCCUUCGAUGGAUAGGGGUUCUGAGAGGAAGGUCCCCCACAUUGGAACUGAGACACGGUCCAAACUCCUACGGGAGGCAGCAGUGAGGAAUAUUGGUCAAUGGGCGUUAGCCUGAACCAGCCAAGUAGCGUGAAGGAUGAAGGCUCUAUGGGUCGUAAACUUCUUUUAUAUAAGAAUAAAGUGCAGUAUGUAUACUGUUUUGUAUGUAUUAUAUGAAUAAGGAUCGGCUAACUCCGUGCCAGCAGCCGCGGUAAUACGGAGGAUCCGAGCGUUAUCCGGAUUUAUUGGGUUUAAAGGGAGCGUAGGUGGACUGGUAAGUCAGUUGUGAAAGUUUGCGGCUCAACCGUAAAAUUGCAGUUGAUACUGUCAGUCUUGAGUACAGUAGAGGUGGGCGGAAUUCGUGGUGUAGCGGUGAAAUGCUUAGAUAUCACGAAGAACUCCGAUUGCGAAGGCAGCUCACUGGACUGCAACUGACACUGAUGCUCGAAAGUGUGGGUAUCAAACAGGAUUAGAUACCCUGGUAGUCCACACAGUAAACGAU
RNAcentral lists this ribosomal RNA (817 nucleotides) under uncultured organism. RNAcentral describes it as "bacterial SSU rRNA". It matches the Rfam family "Bacterial small subunit ribosomal RNA", at positions 1 to 810 of the family's 1533-position model. The record is from RNAcentral.